AAUCAACGCUGGCGGCGUGCCUCAGACAUGCAAGUCGAACGCGAAAGGCCCCUUCGGGGGCCCGGUAGAGUGGCGCACGGGUGAGUAACACGUAGGUAAUUUGCCUUCGGGUGGGGAAUAACAGCCGGGAAACGGCUGCUAAUACCGCAUAAUGCAGCGGCUCGACAUCGAGACAGUUGUUAAAGCGGGGGAUCGCAAGACCUCGCGCCUGAAGAGAAGCCUGCGGCAGAUAGCUUGUUGGUGAGGUAAUGGCUCACCAAGGCGACGAUCUGUAACCGGCCUGAGAGGGCGGUCGGUCACACUGACACUGACAUACGGGUCAGACUCCUACGGGAGGCAGCAGUCGGG
This 348-nucleotide ribosomal RNA is filed under the name uncultured bacterium. RNAcentral describes it as "bacterial SSU rRNA". It matches the Rfam family "Bacterial small subunit ribosomal RNA", at positions 32 to 359 of the family's 1533-position model. The record is from RNAcentral.